Molecule: ribosomal RNA, 500 nt
Filed under: uncultured Glomeromycotina
Lineage: Eukaryota; Fungi; Glomeromycota
Description: partial small subunit ribosomal RNA
Rfam family: Eukaryotic small subunit ribosomal RNA
Source: RNAcentral
CCAAUAGCGUAUAUUAAAGUUGUUGCAGUUAAAAAGCUCGUAGUUGAAUUUCGGGAUCGACGGGUCGGUCGCGCCUCUGGUGUGUACUGGCCCUGUCGGUUUCUCCCUUCUGACGAACCACGAUGUCAUUAAUUUGGUGUCGUGGGAAAUCAGGACUGUUACUUUGAAAAAAUUAGAGUGUUUAAAGCAAGCAUUCGCUUGAAUACAUUAGCAUGGAAUAAUGAAAUAGGACGUUUGAUCUUAUUUUGUUGGUUUCUAAGAUCGACGUAAUGAUUAAUAGGGAUAGUUGGGGGCAUUAGUAUUCAAUUGUCAGAGGUGAAAUUCUUGGAUUUAUUGAAGACUAACUACUGCGAAAGCAUUUGCCAAGGAUGUUUUCAUUAAUCAAGAACGAAAGUUAGGGGAUCGAAGACGAUCAGAUACCGUCGUAGUCUUAACCAUAAACUAUGCCGACUAGGGAUCGGAUGAUGUUAAUUUUUUAAUGACUCAUUCGGCGCCUUACG